GACCUCCUCUUCUUUUUGGUCUAAGAUACAUUGUGCCAGCAAGUAGUCGGCCUCUAUCAUCUGGAAACCAAAAUUUUGCUGCCUUGUUCAGGGGAGUAGCACCCUACCCAGUGAAUGGGUGGUAUAGAGCAUUAUGUUAUAAAAACCAAGGAAAAAUUAUGUUUCAUCUAUCUAUCAGUGGCAUCUGCGAUGGUCAUAAGAACUGCAUGCAGAAAAACAGCCCAUUAGCAAUUAUUAACUGCAAAACAAAAUAACAUCCCCACGCCACGAUUGAUUCUGCCGAUUCACACACACCCUGCAACCUCCCUGUGCCUCAUCCUUGAGUCGGGUUAAGAAGUACGAGCAGUGGGUAACAAUCACCCUCACCACCUUGAACUGCAGCUGCUGUUUCAGCCCUGGGAUGGUUUAGCAUGCAUUCAUUCUCUGUUGGCUUCUCCCUGCUAGUUUUGUUCACAUAUCUGGCCAAAAAUAAUUGUAUGUAUUUUCUAGCUCU
Molecule: long non-coding RNA, 493 nt
Organism: Alligator sinensis (Chinese alligator)
Lineage: Eukaryota; Metazoa; Chordata; Crocodylia; Alligatoridae
Exons: 3
Source: RefSeq, a predicted model, not a curated record